GAUGAACGCUGGCGGCGUGCUUAACACAUGCAAGUCGAACGGAAAGGCUCCUGCUUGCAGGGGUACUCGAGUGGCGAACGGGUGAGUAACACGUGGGUGAUCUGCCCUGCACUUCGGGAUAAGCCUGGGAAACUGGGUCUAAUACCGGAUAGGACGAUGGUUUGGAUGCCAUUGUGGAAAGUUUUUCGGUGUGGGAUGAGCUCGCGGCCUAUCAGCUUGUUGGUGGGGUAAUGGCCUACCAAGGCGUCGACGGGUAGCCGGCCUGAGAGGGUGUACGGCCACAUUGGGACUGAGAUACGGCCCAGACUCCUACGGGAGGCAGCAGUGGGGAAUAUUGCACAAUGGGCGCAAGCCUGAUGCAGCGACGCCGCGUGGGGGAUGACGGCCUUCGGGUUGUAAACUCCUUUCGCUAGGGACGAAGCGUUUUGUGACGGUACCUGGAGAAGAAGCACCGGCCAACUACGUG
RNAcentral lists this ribosomal RNA (466 nucleotides) under uncultured bacterium. RNAcentral describes it as "partial 16S ribosomal RNA". It matches the Rfam family "Bacterial small subunit ribosomal RNA", at positions 28 to 507 of the family's 1533-position model. The record is from RNAcentral.